This 339-nucleotide long non-coding RNA is filed under the name Sorghum bicolor (sorghum). Its description in RNAcentral is "long non-coding RNA (SBIC_LNC018306)". The record is from RNAcentral. Lineage: Eukaryota; Viridiplantae; Streptophyta; Magnoliopsida; Poales; Poaceae.
GCUCCGACACGCCUGGCCGUGGCCGGUCCAGCACGGGGAAGCCGUUGUGCGGCGUGGACCUGAGCACCUCGACGACGGUGGACACCUUCUCGAUGACCUGCAGCGUAACGACCCGCGGCUUGGCGGCCGCGAGCUCGCCGACGGCCAGGUCCUUCAUCCACGUCUCCGGCUUGGGCUCCAGGAACGGCAGGCCCUUGAGGUCGAGGAUGAUCUCGUAGAUGCUGGGGUUGAAGGCGUCACCGACCGUCUUGGCGAUGAGCAGCACGAACAUGGUGAUGGGGAGCAGGAGGAGGUUGUUGGUGAGCUCGAGGAAGAUGACGCAGAGCGAGACGGUCAUCC